RNAcentral lists this ribosomal RNA (490 nucleotides) under uncultured bacterium. RNAcentral describes it as "partial 16S ribosomal RNA". It matches the Rfam family "Bacterial small subunit ribosomal RNA", at positions 28 to 507 of the family's 1533-position model. The record is from RNAcentral.
GAUGAACGCUAGCUACAGGCUUAACACAUGCAAGUCGCGGGGCAGCAUGGGGGUUGCUUGCAAUCCCCGAUGGCGACCGGCGCACGGGUGAGUAACGCGUAUCCAACCUGCCCUUCACCACGGGAUAACCCGGCGAAAGUCGGACUAAUACCGUAUGUUGUCCAUUGACGGCAUCCGAUUUGGACGAAAGGUUUGGCGGGGAAGGAUGGGGAUGCGUCCGAUUAGCUGGACGGCGGGGUGACGGCCCACCGUGGCGACGAUCGGUAGGGGUUCGGAGAGGAAGGUCCCCCACACUGGAACUGAGACACGGUCCAGACUCCUACGGGAGGCAGCAGUGAGGAAUAUUGGUCAAUGGGCGUAAGCCUGAACCAGCCAAGUAGCGUGCAGGAUGACGGCCCUAUGGGUUGUAAACUGCUUUUAUGCGGGGAUAAAGUGGCCCACGUGUGGGUUUUUGCAGGUACCGCAUGAAUAAGGACCGGCUAAUUCCGUG